UUCGGUGGCGAUAGCGUCAAGGUCACACCCGUUCCCAUCCCGAACACGGAAGUUAAGCUUGACUGCGCCGAUGGUACUGCAUGGGCAGCUGUGUGGGAGAGUAGGACGCCGCCGGAU
This 117-nucleotide ribosomal RNA is filed under the name Desulfococcaceae bacterium OttesenSCG-928-F15. The record is from RNAcentral. Lineage: Bacteria; Pseudomonadati; Thermodesulfobacteriota; Desulfobacteria; Desulfobacterales; Desulfococcaceae.